GGGCGUAUAGCUCAGUGGUAGAGCGCGUCACUGAUAAUGACGAGGUCCUAAGUUCGAUCCUUAGUACGCCCACCA
Molecule: transfer RNA, 75 nt
Filed under: bacterium
Lineage: Bacteria
Also listed under: 1 other name
Description: tRNA-Ile
Rfam family: tRNA
About the family: Transfer RNA (tRNA) molecules are approximately 80 nucleotides in length. Their secondary structure includes four short double-helical elements and three loops (D, anti-codon, and T loops).
Source: RNAcentral